GUAACAAUUGAUUAGCCACUAUCUUAAGACUUUGCUCCAUUAAGAUCUCAUCAUAGGUCGAUAACUCUCACCCUCUGGAUGUACAUCCCAACUUCUUGGCCAUCACUCUUGGCAUAUUGGCAUGCAGUCUUGGUACAGUGGCCUAUACCUAGGUUGAUAGGCAAUCAGCCAACACCCUUGCUAUAUCAGCCUGCAUAUUUGAUAUAUCACCCUGCAUUACUAGCAUAUGGGACUGCACCU
This 240-nucleotide long non-coding RNA is filed under the name Elaeis guineensis (African oil palm). RNAcentral describes it as "long non-coding RNA (EGUI_LNC056210)". The record is from RNAcentral. Lineage: Eukaryota; Viridiplantae; Streptophyta; Magnoliopsida; Arecales; Arecaceae.